GAUGAACGCUGGCGGCGCGCCUAACACAUGCAAGUCGAACGAUUAAAGCACCUUCGGGUGUGUAUAAAGUGGCGAACGGCUGAGUAACACGUGGGCAACCUGCCCCUUUCAUUGGGAUAGCCACGGGAAACCGUGGAUAAUACCGAAUACUUCGAGACUUCCGCAUGGAAGACUCGAGAAAGCUCCGGCGGAGAGGGAUGGGCCCGCGGCCUGUUAGCUUGUUGGUGGGGUAACGGCCUACCAAGGCAAUGAUGGGUAGCUGGGUUGAGAGACCGACCAGCCAGAUUGGGACUGAGACACGGCCCAGACUCCUACGGGAGGCAGCAGUGGGGAAUCUUGCACAAUGGGCGAAAGCCUGAUGCAGCGACGCCGCGUGCGGGAUGAAGGCCUUCGGGUUGUAAACCGCUUUC
RNAcentral lists this ribosomal RNA (410 nucleotides) under Lancefieldella parvula. RNAcentral's name for it is "bacterial SSU rRNA". It matches the Rfam family "Bacterial small subunit ribosomal RNA", at positions 28 to 437 of the family's 1533-position model. Lineage: Bacteria; Bacillati; Actinomycetota; Coriobacteriia; Coriobacteriales; Atopobiaceae. The record is from RNAcentral.